CACGUAAGGGGCGAGCGUUGUUCGGAAUUAUUGGGCGUAAAGCGCGCGCAGGCGGUUUUACAAGUCUGGUGUGAAAAAUCUGGGCUCAACUCAGAAGACGCGCUGGAAACUGUAAGACUAGAGUCUUGGAGGGGGAGUUGGAAUUCCUAGUGUAGGGGUGAAAUCUGUUGAUAUUAGGAAGAACACCGGAGGCGAAGGCGAGCUCCUGGCUGGAGACUGACGCUGAGGCGCGAAAGCGUAGGUAGCAAACAGG
This 253-nucleotide ribosomal RNA is filed under the name uncultured bacterium. Its description in RNAcentral is "partial 16S ribosomal RNA". It matches the Rfam family "Bacterial small subunit ribosomal RNA", at positions 524 to 776 of the family's 1533-position model. The record is from RNAcentral.